RNAcentral lists this long non-coding RNA (848 nucleotides) under Eucalyptus grandis. RNAcentral's name for it is "long non-coding RNA (EGRA_LNC002565)". The record is from RNAcentral. Lineage: Eukaryota; Viridiplantae; Streptophyta; Magnoliopsida; Myrtales; Myrtaceae.
UCCGUCGACCCCUUCUGCUUUUGGUCUCGCUUUCAUUAUUUGCUUUCUACCUCAUCCCCAUUUUCAUUUAUUCCUCACGCCUCUUCCCAUCAUCAUCACCAAUCCAUCAUCCAACGUCCACCAAUUUCUCCACUCACUCUCUUCCUCGCAGCCACAGAAGCCCACGAACGAAGCCUCCAUUGAGUCAAACUUCCUUGGCCUAUUUUGAUUGUUGACUCCUCUUGCCGGGCAUCCUUCAAUCCACGAGACUGCAGCUCCACCACUUCCUCUCUCUCUCGUUGAACCCUCUGCCAUCUCACGUCCAAAGUUCCAUCCCUCUUCUCCACCGAAAUUCAACGCCAGAUGAAGACCACCGAAGCCAUGAAACAGCUUCCGUUCAUCCACCGAGCUCCCAUCUCUUCACAUGCUGCCUGCCACUCCACGCCAGCGCCGUUUGAAGACCGAGCAAACCAACGCCUCCACGAUUUCCAUUUGUCUAGCAACCGAAUCUACACGUCCCAGCUUCUUCGGUCAAAACCCCAAGUCGAAGCCCUUCCAUCGUCAACCGAAGCCAUCCCACGAAUCGUCCAGCAGCUUCGGUCUUUUUCAGCUCGUGGAUCAGCCGCAACAAAGCCCGCAGCACAUCCAACCUGUUCUCAGCCCAGUUGAAGUCUUCAAGUCCAGCAAGUGUCUUCAGCCCAUUGGAUUUCGGCCCAGUCUAGCAAAGCCCAACAAGAGCAGAAGCCCGCAAUUUUGAGGCCCAAGCCCGCGAAGUCAGCCCGCUUCAAGCCCGGUCCAAUUCAGAAGCAAAUCUCAGCUUGGGCUGAGAUUUGUUGGGCCUGUUUUAGGCCCGGCCCGAGUGUUCGCCG